Molecule: long non-coding RNA, 770 nt
Organism: Pundamilia nyererei
Lineage: Eukaryota; Metazoa; Chordata; Actinopteri; Cichliformes; Cichlidae
Exons: 4
Source: RefSeq, a predicted model, not a curated record
ACUACUGCGACCAAUGCGGAUAAUAACUAACCAGACUUUGAAGAGGGGGGGGCAGAAAAGCGGUCAGUGCCUUGACAGCAAGUUUGUGACCAGAAGAGCCGCAAGUGACCUUGAGCUUUCGAAAACUUCACAACACGCAACCCGUGCUGGUCUGCGACUUACAACUGUAUUCAUGAGCAUCUGGCUGAGCCUGACCUGCAUGGAGAUGAGCUGCAUUUUAAGCAACUGGUAUGCAGAAGGGCAUCUCUGACUGCACAACAUGGAGAACCUCGAAGCAGAUGGGCUACAGCAGCAGAACACCAGCAGAUGCAGCAAAACAUCAGUUCUCAUGUGUGACACCUCUGAGUGCUCGGGGAUGGUGCAGACAGCAGAACCAACUGUGUGGGAAGAAUGACAGGACAUCGUGUCCCCUCUCUAAUUAGGAUAAGUGACAAGAGUGAUUGUUGUUAGCUGCAGAAGUGAUGGCAUUAAAGGGCUGAGAGCCAGCCACACAGCUGGGAGAUUAGGGACACGUGCAUAUUUUGGCCUCGACACGUACGUCACCAAAAGGACACGGAGGAAGAAAACAAGGUGAAAAGGGACUGCUACGUAAUGCACCUGUCAAAUAGGUCCUUGCAACAUGUGUGGUGUUAUGUGACCGAGGAGAAGAAGGCCAGGGCAUUUAGAAGAAACAAACACUUGUGUUCUUAGCUAAGUGCGACGAGGCUUAUAGGAUGCAGACUGCUGUGUGAAGUGCUGAAUAAAAGGUGCACAGAUGGUGUUUUAUUUAU